Molecule: long non-coding RNA, 2388 nt
Organism: Leopardus geoffroyi (Geoffroy's cat)
Lineage: Eukaryota; Metazoa; Chordata; Mammalia; Carnivora; Felidae
Exons: 3
Source: RefSeq, a predicted model, not a curated record
AGCCGGUUUGUUGUUACUUUCAGGUGAAACUUUCCUCGCUGGUGCCGGGCAUUUCUGGAGGACAGCAUUGGGUGGAGCUGAAAAGGAGGGGCCCGCGGGUGCCUGGACCUGGAUGGGGCGGGGUUGGCCAAAUCCCUUCCUUUGGAUUCCACCUCCAGCUAGACCCCGUGGAGCCUGGUUUUCCCAUUUCUGCCCCUCUGCUGAGCCAUUCUAGAGCCCCUACCCAUGAUCGUUCUAUCGACGCUAACGCUUGCCUUCGACUUAUCGUCACGAUAAUCGUUAUCAUCACCAUUGGACAGUGAACCCCCGACCGAACUCUCCCCUGGAACGGCUGUUACUUACAAAUAAUUUCUGUUCUCACUAACAACGUGACAAGGAGACAGAUGCAACCUGUUCGGGCUCGGUGGUCUGGGAAUCCGUCCUGCUGCAGCACCCCACGCACAAGCCCCUUUGCCCUCCGGUCCCCACCGUCCGGUCCACAGGGCGGGCUCCCCAGCCCCUCGCUGAAGGAGGGGAAACCCUGCGUGGGUUUUGCCGCUGCCUUGCUGGCUGCUGCAUGCUGGGAACUUGCCGACAUCACCAUGCGGACAGUGUUCACGACAACCCAGGGUUCGGACCGGCCAGCGACUUGACCAGAAUCCUGCAAAUACUGAGUGACGAGCCACCCGUUGGCCUCGGGUCUUUCCGAUUCCAGAGCCCACGUUUUUCACCGACAUAUGGGGCCAGAAGUGCUCCCUCUUCCGUUCCUCCUCUCUCCUCCCCAGCUCUUCGCCCACAGCCCAGCACCCCCAGCGCCCCUUGGACAGGCAGCUGGGGAUCUGAGAUGCCGCGUCACUUGCUGGGACUGUGAGAGGAACUUGGCUUUGGAGACGCCCUGACCUCAUGCACCUGAGCCCCCAGAAUCCACAGUCCACCCCUAGUUUGGGAACCACCUGUCUGGGGAUGACACACGGGUGUUCCCUUCACUUCUAGCAGCUCAGACGUGCACCCAGGGUAACCCUGAGCAUCACCUGCUGCAGAUGUGUGAGUGACGAUCACGCUGCGCCCGGGGUUACUGUCACACGUUUGUUCCAAGGAGCAUCUCUUCUGGGCGUCUGUGACCCUCACAGCAUCCUGAGAAGUAGAGCCUCACUUAGGCCCCUUGAACGGGGAAAACAGGCUCACAGUGAUUUUUGAAGCCGGAGGACUCCAGAGUUCCUUCAGCUUCUCGUCGACAGAUAAAGAAGCUGAAACCCAGAGAGCAGUGACCAGAGAGUGUGGGGCCGAGCUGGCACCAGAUUCCAGGCUCCCUCGGUCCCCAGGCCGGUGCCUAAACAGAAUGGCAGGCAUCCCGCGGGCCAGUCCUGGAUGUUGGUGGUUUUUUGUUUGGUUUUGUUCUUUAGCUUCAGCAGGUUCCCAGCCUGCCUGAUCUCCUGAGAAGCUGGAAAGGGGCGGGGUGGGGUGGGGGGGUCGGGGGGCAGAUCUGCCUGGAUUCAGAUCCAGGUCGGCCACUGCCUUGGGGCGUGUGACCUUGGACGGCCCCUCCUUUGCCUCCACAGGCCUCAGUUUUCUCGUUUUUCUCAUCUGUAAAACCUCUCCCGGGACCAAGGAGCUGAGUCUGCGGCUCUGGCCUUCUGGGUGUGCUCCGAGCGUACCGUUCCCCCAGGGGCCUCGAAGCCGGACGUGGUCUACACCACUGCUUGGCUUGGCACAAUGCUCCACUUCCCCAGCAAAGAUUUUCAUUCCUCCUGCUGGAAAGUUGGCUCCAUGCAUUCGGGCUGAAUAAGUUGAUUUGUAGAAAUUACCCUUUCCUGGGGCUCCUCACAUCAGAAGCAGCAGGUGGGUGCUCUGAGUGCUUCUGAAUGCGCCCCGGAGUCCAGCUGGGACAAAUCUAUCCCUCCAAAGCGACAUCUGCUGGAAGGUGGCAUUGAAUUCUGUCACAUUAUAAUAGCUUCUCCCUCGGUUCCAGUAACCUUUAUUUAACCGGCGUCGGAAUCUCCCCUCGAGAGGCGCACGUCCUUGUCUGGGACUUUUUCUGGCAGGAGGGGUCCUGGGAGCCCACUGUGUUACAGAGGACGGAACCCGUGAUGCCGGCAGAGUGAGGGGCCACGGAGCCUGGCAGGGGGGCAAGGGAUAGGCCUGAUGGGGGAGGAGAGGCUGGUUGAAAGGGCCACACUGAUGGGAUGACUAACUCUGCAGGGUCUGUCACCCUGGAUGGGCGCCCUGGAGACUGUCGUUCAUCCAUUCACUUUCUCACGCACUCACUCAACAAACACUUGCGGCCAGGGAUGGCUGAGGGAUGUGCAGGUGAAGGGGGACACAGAGGUGAGUGAGAGCUGUUCUUUACCCUCAAAGGGCUCAGGGUCUGUCACAAAAGAUAGACUCUGCCUCAAGAAAUACAAUAAUAGA